CGGGUGAGUAAUGCGUGACCAACCUGCCCCAUGCUCCAGAAUAGCUCUUGGAAACGGGUGGUAAUGCUGGAUGCUCAACUUGACGCAUGUCUUGUUGGGAAAGUGUUUAGUGGCAUGGGAUGGGGUCGCGUCCUAUCAGCUUGUAGGCGGGGUAAUGGCCCACCUAGGCUUCGACGGGUAGCCGGCCUGAGAGGGCGGACGGCCACAUUGGGACUGAGAUACGGCCCAGACUCCUACGGGAGGCAGCAGCU
This 251-nucleotide ribosomal RNA is filed under the name uncultured Gardnerella sp. RNAcentral's name for it is "partial 16S ribosomal RNA". It matches the Rfam family "Bacterial small subunit ribosomal RNA", at positions 103 to 355 of the family's 1533-position model. Lineage: Bacteria; Bacillati; Actinomycetota; Actinomycetes; Bifidobacteriales; Bifidobacteriaceae. The record is from RNAcentral.